CCUACGGGAGGCAGCAGUGAGGAAUAUUGGUCAAUGGACGAGAGUCUGAACCAGCCAAGUAGCGUGAAGGAUGACUGCCCUAUGGGUUGUAAACUUCCUUUAUAUGGGAAUAAAAUGUUCCACGUGUGGGAUUUUGUAUGUACCAUAUGAAUAAGGAUCGGCUAACUCCGUGCCAGCAGCCGCGGUAAUACGGAGGAUCCGAGCGUUAUCCGGAUUUAUUGGGUUUAAAGGGAGCGUAGGUGGAUUGUUAAGUCAGUUGUGAAAGUUUGCGGCUCAACCGUAAAAUUGCAGUUGAAACUGGCAGUCUUGAGUACAGUAGAGGUGGGCGGAAUUCGUGGUGUAGCGGUGAAAUGCUUAGAUAUCACGAAGAACUCCGAUUGCGAAGGCAGUUCACUGGACUGCAACUGACACUGAGGCUCGAAAGUGUGGGUAUCAAACAGGAUUAGAUACCCGAGUAGUC
This 460-nucleotide ribosomal RNA is filed under the name uncultured bacterium. Its description in RNAcentral is "partial 16S ribosomal RNA". It matches the Rfam family "Bacterial small subunit ribosomal RNA", at positions 338 to 795 of the family's 1533-position model. The record is from RNAcentral.